AGAGUGAACUAGCUAACUGAAAUCAUAGAAUUUUUUAAAAUUCAUGAUGUCGUAAGGGAAAAUAAUGAUAAUACCUUACUAUGAGUGUCGUCCAAAUCUGGUGCCAGAAGACUCGGUAAGACCAGAGACGCAAACGUUAAUCAUCAUAAACAGGCGUAAAGGGUUUGUAGGCAGCUUUCACCAAACUAUGAUUACAAAAUAAAGUAGUUUAAUUGAAAGCUAGAAUCAAAAAGAGGUUAUAGUGUAUAACGCCUAGAGGAGGGCUGAUAUCCAUAGAUCCUAGGCAGAAUACUCAGGGCGAAGGCCACUCUCCACUACUGAUUGACGCUGAGAAACGAAGGUUAGGGUAGGAAAUAGGAUUAGAUACCCCGGUACUCCUUUCUGUAAACGAUGAAUGGUAGUCAUUAGUUUUAUAACUAGAGACGAAGUUAACACAAUAACCAUUCCGCCUUGUGAGUACUACUGCAAAGUAGAAAACAAAAAAAUUAGUCGGUCUCGAAGCAAACGGA
Molecule: ribosomal RNA, 509 nt
Filed under: Metacampanella tricolor
Lineage: Eukaryota; Fungi; Basidiomycota; Agaricomycetes; Agaricales; Campanellaceae
Description: SSU rRNA
Rfam family: Bacterial small subunit ribosomal RNA
Source: RNAcentral